ACUGAGGUGGCGACCGGCGCACGGGUGCGUAACGCGUAUGCAACCUACCAUAACGAGGGGAUAACACUGAGAAUUGGUACUAAUACCCAUAAUACUUUGGAAGGCAUUCUUUUGGAGUUGAAAGUUCAGGCGGUUAUGGAUGGGCAUGCGUUGUAUUAGCUAGAUGGUGGGGUAACGGCUUACCAAGGCGACGAUGUCUAGGGGAACUGAGAGGUUAAUCCCCCACACUGGUACUGAGACACGGACCAGACUCCUACGGGAGGCAGCAGUGAGGAAUAUUGGUCAAUGGUCGGAAGACUGAACCAGCCAUGCCGCGUGAAGGAAGAAUGUCCUAUGGAUUGUAAACUUCUUUUGUAAGGGAGCAAUAAGUUCUACGUGUAGGAUGAUGAGAGUACCUUACGAAUAAGCAUCGGCUAACUCCGUG
Molecule: ribosomal RNA, 424 nt
Filed under: uncultured bacterium
Lineage: Bacteria
Description: bacterial SSU rRNA
Rfam family: Bacterial small subunit ribosomal RNA
Source: RNAcentral